This 406-nucleotide ribosomal RNA is filed under the name uncultured bacterium. RNAcentral describes it as "partial 16S ribosomal RNA". It matches the Rfam family "Bacterial small subunit ribosomal RNA", at positions 30 to 526 of the family's 1533-position model. The record is from RNAcentral.
AUUGAACGCUGGCGGCAGGCCUAACACAUGCAAGUCGAACGAGUGGCGGACGGGUGAGUAAUGUAUGGGAAACUGCCCGAUGGAGGGGGAGAACUACUGGAAACGGUAGCUAAUACCGCAUACCAGCGGAUGUGCCCAGAUGGGAUUAGGUAGUAGGUGGGGUAACGGCUGACCUAGGCGACGAUCCCUAGCUGGUCUGAGAGGAUGAGCAGCCACACUGGAACUGAUACACGGUCCAGACUCCUACGGGAGGCAGCAGUGGGGAAUAUUGCACAAUGGGCGCAAGCCUGAUGCAGCCAUGCCGCGUGUAUGAAGAAGGCCCUCGGGUUGUAAAGUACUUUCAGCGGGGAGGCGUUACUCGCAGAAGAAGCACCGGCUAACUCCGUGCCAGCAGCCGCGGUAAUUC